This is a long non-coding RNA of Strongylocentrotus purpuratus (purple sea urchin), 223 nucleotides long. RefSeq lists it as uncharacterized. Lineage: Eukaryota; Metazoa; Echinodermata; Echinoidea; Camarodonta; Strongylocentrotidae. The transcript has 3 exons. The record is from RefSeq and is a predicted model, not a curated record.
UGUGUGUUCUGGUGUCUUAAUGCCAGCUGUCAUUACGGAACUUAUCAAUUGACGUUUCAGUUUGAGAAACGUGGACAUUAGAGAAACACCUCCACCAAUUUCUACUUUCACAGAUUUAACGGGUGAAAUAUCACUCGGAAAUCAAUCGAAAUGGGUCGAAGUGCCCUGCUAUUUUGCUCCCUGUUGGUCAUUUCCUGCGUGGCCGCCCAGGAUCUAGUUUCUA